RNAcentral lists this ribosomal RNA (301 nucleotides) under uncultured bacterium. Its description in RNAcentral is "partial 16S ribosomal RNA". It matches the Rfam family "Bacterial small subunit ribosomal RNA", at positions 510 to 808 of the family's 1533-position model. The record is from RNAcentral.
AGCAGCCGCUGGAACACGGAGGGAGCUAGCGUUGUUCGGAAUUACUGGGCGUAAAGCGCGCGUAGGCGGUUACUCAAGUCAGAGGUGAAAGCCCGGGGCUCAACCCCGGAACUGCCUUUGAAACUAGGUGACUAGAAUCUUGGAGAGGUCAGUGGAAUUCCGAGUGUAGAGGUGAAAUUCGUAGAUAUUCGGAAGAACACCAGUGGCGAAGGCGACUGACUGGACAAGUAUUGACGCUGAGGUGCGAAAGCGUGGGGAGCAAACAGGAUUAGAUACCCCGGUAGUCCCUGUCUCUUAUACA